UUGUUGUAGCAGGGACAGAACUGCUUGUUCCCAUACGUUCCGGGGGGCACACAGAGGCACUUUGCGCAGCACUUCUGGCAGAAGAACAAGCAUGGCUUCUUGUAUGCUGUCGAGGAACACCUCCCCACACAUCUCCCUGAGCACUCCUGUGGGUGAAGGCUUCCUUCAGUGACUCCAUGCGUUGGGUUACUCACUGGAUGAGCUGUUGGAGCGGGAGAAUUCCCAGGUUGUGCUGUGGGUGCCGGCCCAUGGGAAUGCUUUGCCCGAUCGGAUAGAAUAAGGACGGUGAGCAAACACAGAGUUAGUAUGCUCAAUCUGCUUGCCAUUGUUGAGCAGCUGGAUAAG
RNAcentral lists this unclassified non-coding RNA (345 nucleotides) under Hevea brasiliensis (rubber tree). Lineage: Eukaryota; Viridiplantae; Streptophyta; Magnoliopsida; Malpighiales; Euphorbiaceae. The record is from RNAcentral.